Long non-coding RNA from Gossypium raimondii (Peruvian cotton), 568 nucleotides. RefSeq lists it as uncharacterized. The transcript is spliced from 2 exons. NCBI's taxonomy places the organism in Eukaryota, Viridiplantae, Streptophyta, Magnoliopsida, Malvales, Malvaceae. The record is from RefSeq and is a predicted model, not a curated record.
UCUUCUUCAAAAAAAAUUUGAAAAAACUCUCUGAAGGCCCUCUCCUUUUCCGGCCUAAGGUCCGGCUCGGCCUCCGGCGUAGCACCGCCGUAUGCGGUAGCCGACGGCUCAAAAUCGGAUCUUUUUGAUCCUAGUUCGAAGCCGAGUGUCUCCUAGGCACGGAUCUGGGACCGAAUCUCGUGAAACAAAGGCCGAAGACCUGGAAAAAGGGCGAAACCGCUCGCCUUCCUCCACCUCUGGCGCGGCGCAGGUAAGGUACAAGUUGCGGUGAUUGAAGCAGAUGGCUGAGGUGACGUGCGGCGCGGUGAUGGCGGUACUGGCAGAAGAGACGUGCGGCGGCAGUACUAGGGUUUCAGAAAAGCUGAAACCCUAGUUUGACAAAUUUUUUGGAAUUGGGCCUGGGCAUUGGGCUUCACCUUUGGGCUGCUGGGUUUAAUUGUUUUUGUUUGGGUUAAUUGGGUUUGCCUGGUUUUGGAUGGGUUUGUAAUGGGUAAAUUUGGGCUUGUACAACAAGCACCUAAUCAUGUUAAAUUAUAUAUUUUAUAUAAUUAAAUUAUUUUUUUAAAAA